Molecule: ribosomal RNA, 10791 nt
Filed under: Triticum aestivum (bread wheat)
Lineage: Eukaryota; Viridiplantae; Streptophyta; Magnoliopsida; Poales; Poaceae
Description: partial small subunit ribosomal RNA
Rfam family: MIR1120/MIR1122 microRNA precursor family (bases 5875-5999)
Source: RNAcentral
CACAAAACGCAAGCAGAGGAGGGCCGGCCAUUUAUCAUCUACUGCUGUGUGGUAGCUAGCCAGUAUGUUACUGCUAUUGGCCCAGGCAAGCCUUCAGGAAAUCUUAGACAUCUGAAAAUUUUGUGCAACUGCAAGCAGAGCAAGUUUCUGUCUUGAUCGCUGUUGGUUGAAUGACCAUCAGUGGCUUCCCAGUCUAGCUACCCUCUGUAUUCAGGUGUAGCAGCAUGGUUUUCUCCUGGUGAUUGGCUAUAAUCUUGUAUUAGUAUCUAUAGUAUUUUGAUAGGCUGGAAGACUGGGUGCAAGGUAAGACUUGCUGUCGUACCUGAGAGAGCUUGGGACCUUAGCUUCAUAAAUCUUAACUACAGCGGAAUAAAUUAUGAUGAUUGUACGCUAGCAUGUAGGAAACCGAUUAGAGUUAAAAUGGAUUUGACAACCACAAAUAAUUAGCUGGUUGAUUAAUCCGUAUCUAACUGUAUGUUGUAACUCAAUGCAACAUUUCCAGUAUAGUUCGGUGUGGAGGCUGCCAACUCAUGGCCCUCGAACUGACCAAAUCAAACUGGCAACCGGAGAAAAUUGGAAGGGAAUAAUGCCAAAUAAUUAAGAAUUUAGUCCUCAAUGUCAAACAUGAUGUUAUAUUGGUACGGUAUCCAUUGGCGUAUAUUGGCGUGUCAUCCUUGCGCAGCACGUGGAGGUAGUUAGGAUAGAUAUAGGAUAGAUAUACAUGAGUUGUUUCUUUCUCUCCAAGUUCUAUCUUCUUCCUAAAUAUCUCCUGUAUCCAAACUACUUUGUAUGCGCUGUACGGGAGGUGCGUCCCGCCUAUAUUAACACGUACCCGUCGGCCUCAACAGGCAAGAUGUUUCCAGCUAUUCGCACAUGGUAUCAGAGCUAUCCUUUUCUCAUCAAAGCUCCCUGCAAACUCCUUCUAGCCCUAGCCAUGUCUUCCACCUCUGGCGCAUCCCAAACCAGCCUCAAUAGCCAAGUUACCGAGAAGCUAACCCGCACAAAUUAUGUGCUAUGGCGCACGCAAGUCAUCCCUCAGCUGCGCGGCGCCGGUGUCUAUGGCUACAUCAACGGCACCCAGUCGGAGCCGGCGAAACUCCUCGUCACCACCAAGGACGGCAAGGAGGUUUCGUCAACGCCCAACCCUCUCCACCCAAUCUGGGUCCGGGAGGAUCAGCAGGUUCUGGGAUACCUGCUGAACAACCUGACGCGUGAGGUGCUGCUCACGGUGACCACGGUCACCACCGCGGGCGCGCUCUGGACGACGCUCGCUAGGAUGUUCUCGUCCCAGUCCGCCAGCCGCAUCAACAACAUACGAACGUCCCUCAUCAACGCGCAGAAAGGGAGUCUCUCCGUUGCCUCCUACUUCGCCGCCAUGCGCAGCUACGCCGAUGAGCUAGCCGCCGCAGGCAAGGCGAUCCCGGACGACGAACUCGCCUCCUACAUCAUCCAUGGGCUCGACGCCGACUAUCAGCCUCUGGUGUCUGCCCUCGACGCUCGCGUGACCGCGGUAACCCUUGAUGAACUCUUUGCCAUGUUAUCGAAUUUCGAUCAGCGCAUGGCUCACUUCUAGGGGGCCGGUGGCGGCGGCUUCAAAUCAUCCGCGAACGCGGCCACUCGCGGGCGGGGCGGCGGCUCUCGCUCCCGUGGCUCCUCUCGCAACAAGGGCAGGUCCGGCGGCAGCAACCGUGGUGCUGCGCCACCCCAAUCUGGUGGCCUAGGACGUCACGGACGCGGUGCUGGUGGCGGCGGCAGGAACCGUCCGGACACCCCUAAGUGUCAGAUCUGCGGCAAGGUCGGGCAUACAGCAAAAGAUUGCUGGUACAGGUAUGAGGAGGACGACUAUGACUCCCAAGAUGAAGAAAAGGUCGCUGCGGCGGCUGAUGGCUCAUAUGGUGUCGACACGAACUGGUAUGUUGACAGUGGUGCUACCAACCACAUCACCAAUGAGCUCGAGAAAGUAACCAUGAAGGAGAAAUAUCGCGGCAAGGAUCAAAUCCAUACUGCCAGUGGAGAAGGUAUGAGUAUACGUCACUUUGGUCACUCAAUAUUUCGUACCCCUCAUCGUAAUAUUCAUCUUAGAAAAAUUCUGCAUGUUCCUAGUGCCAACAAGAGUCUUCUUUCUGUCCAUCGAAUUGCCCUUGAUAAUCAUGUAUUUCUUGAAUUUCACCCUUACUUCUUUUUGAUCAAGGAUCAGGCAACGAGGACGGUUCUCUAUCGAGGUAGAUGCGUCUGUGGCCUCUAUCCGUUGAUUCCGGAGUUUCGAAGACCAAAUAAAUAUGCUUGUGGUGCUAUCAAGCUUUCGUCCACACGAUGGCAUAAUCGUUUAGGACAUGCAUCUUUUUCUUUAGUUGAAAAAUUACUUAGGAAAAAUAAUCUCCCGUUUGUUGGUGAGCGUCAUAAUGAGACAAUUUGUGAUUCAUGUCAGAAAGCUAAAAGUCAUCAGUUUCCUUACCCUAUUUCUAGCAGUGUUUCUACCAAACCACUACAAUUGAUCUUUUCUGAUGUUUGGGGUCCUGCCCCUACUUCUGUUGGCAGACACAUUUAUUAUGUUAGCUUCAUCGAUGAUUUUAGCAAAUUUUCUUGGAUCUAUCUUUUAAAGAAACGGUCUGAUGUGUUUCAAGUGUUCAAAAACUUUCAAGCUCUUGUUGAGCGAAAAUUUGACAGCAAAAUCAUCGCUGUCCAGUCAGACUGGGGAGGGGAGUACGAAAAGUUAAACUCCUUCUUCCAAACACUUGGUGUCUCACAUCAAGUGUCAUGUCCUCAUGCUCACCAGCAAAAUGGGUCAGCAGAACGCAAGCAUCGACAUAUUGUCGAGGUUGGCCUUGCCCUUCUAGCCGGCGCAUCCAUGCCUCUAAAAUUCUGGGAUGAAGCGUUUUUAAUCGCAGUCCAUAUCAUCAACAUGAUCCCUAGUCGUGUUAUUCAUAAUGAAACUCCGAUAGAAAGACCUCUCCACACCAAACUAGACUAUAAGUCCCUUCGUGUAUUUGGGUGUGCAUGUUGGCCUAACCUUCGUCCCUACAACAACCGCAAGCUCAUGUUUCGAUCAAAACAGUGCGUAUUUCUUGGUUAUAGCGCACAACACAAAGGUGUCAAGUGCUUAGAUGUUUCCACCGGGCGAGUGUACAUCUCCCGUGAUGUCGUUUUUGAUGAAACCAAGUUUCCAUUCACCGAUCUUCACCCAAACUCCGGUGCACUACUUCGAGAAGAAAUUCUCCUCCUACCCCCCAUCUCACUAGUUUUGACAAAGGGGGACUAAAUAUUGAUGAUCAUUUGUUGACUAACUCAUCUAAUGGCAUGCAUGAGCUUUGUGUUGAUGAAACAGGAGCAAAUAAUCAGCAAGGUGAAAAAUCCGGGCCAUAUUUCAUGUGUCCCGUGGCAGGAGACAACGCGCCAGGGGACAGAUCCCACUUGGGAUCGGCAGCGCAGCAGCAGAUCAGAUCCGCCUCGGGAUCGGCAGCGCAGCAGCUGACCAGAUCCUCCUCGGAAUCUGGUGGUGCAGGGACGCCAGGUGCAGGCGUGCGCGCCACCCCGCCAGAUGCGCGCGUCUCCACCACCGACACGUGGGCCCGCCCCGACAUGCGGGUCCCUCCAGGCAGCACGCAAUACGGCGUCACGUAUCAGCGGCGCGGAUCCGCACGGGUCUCUGGAGCUGGUCCCACCGGUGCUGACCAACCGACCGGACCGCGCAAUGAUGAGCGGGUCCCCGCCUCGGGAUCUUCUGCACCCACCCGUGACGAGGCGCCUCAGCCAGCGACCACAGAAGAUCCGGCCAGCCCCGCGCUGACUGAGGCUGCUGCUGCACCUGCUACUGGGUCCGCGGCAGGAUCCCCCUCGGGAUCUGUUGCUGAUCCACCCAUGCAGCCCUCCGGAUCCUCUGUGGCUGCGGACUCUGUAGCUCCUCCUGCGCGACGAACACGGCUCCAACAAGGUUUAAUUCAGCCUUUAAAUUAUAAACAUGUCACCAAAUAUGGCUUGGUCUGUUCCACAGGAGAACCAGAUGAGCCAGUGACUCUUGAUGCAGCACUUCAUGAUGAUAAGUGGAAGAAGGCAAUGAAUGAAGAAUACAUGGCAUUAAAGAAAAACAAGACUUGGCACUUGGUUCCUCCACAGCAAGGUAAAAACUUGAUUGAUUGUAAGUGGGUUUUUCGGAUCAAAAGGAGAUCUGAUGGAACUAUUGAUCGCUAUAAGGCUAGGCUAGUUGCAAAAGGCUUCAAACAGCGAUAUGGUAUAGACUAUGAGGAUACAUUUAGUCCUGUGGUAAAAGCAGCCACCAUUCGUCUUGUUUUGUCCAUUGCUGUUUCCAGGGGAUGGAGUCUCAGGCAGCUUGAUGUACAGAACGCGUUUCUUCAUGGUGUUCUGGAAGAGGAGGUGUAUAUGAAACAACCUCCUGGGUUUGAAAGUAAGAAAACUCCCUCCUAUGUGUGCAAACUUGAUAAAGCAUUAUAUGGAUUGAAGCAAGCUCCAAGGGCAUGGUACUCACGUCUUUGUCACAAGAUGCAAACACUUGGAUUUAUCCCCUCUAAGUCAGACACGUCAUUGUUCAUCUAUAACAGAUCCAAUACAUGCAUAUUUGUUCUCAUCUAUGUUGAUGAUAUAAUUGUAACUAGUUCAUCUGAUGAAGCAACUAAAGGACUGUUAAAGGACUUGAGUGCAGAUUUUGCGUUAAAAGAUCUUGGAGACUUGCAUUAUUUUCUUGGAAUUGAGGUAAAGAAGCAUUCAAAUGGACUUCACCUUUCUCAAGCUAAGUAUGCAACUGAUCUGGUUAAAAAGGCAGGACUGCAAGGUUGUAAACCUUCUCUCACACCAUUAUCAAGCUCAGAAAAGUUGUCACUUAUGGAAGGUACACCUUUGAGUCAGGAAGAUAGUACAAAAUAUAGAAGUCUAGUAGGGGCUCUUCAGUACUUAACUCUUACCAGGCCUGAUCUUUCAUUUGCUGUCAACAAAGUUUGCCAAUUUUUGCAUGCACCUACUACUGUUCAUUUGACAGCUGCAAAAUGUAUCAUUAGAUAUGUUAAACAUACUCUGAGUAUAGGUCUGAAUUUCAGCAAGUCAUCCUCUACUCUUGUCAGUGCUUUCUCUGACUCUGAUUGGGCAGGCUGCCUGGAUGACAGGCGCUCCACAGGAGGCUUUGCAGUAUUUUUUGGACUUAAUCUGAUAUCAUGGUGUGCACAUAAGCAUGCUACUAUCUCUAGGUCAAGCACUGAGGCAGAAUACAAGGCACUAGCAAAUGCCACAGCUGAAAUCAUAUGGGUUCAGUCUAUGUUGAAAGAGCUUGGUGUAAAAGGCAAACAAGCUCCAUGCUUGUGGUGUGAUAAUCUUGGUGCUACUUAUCUUUCUGCCAAUCCUGUGUUCCAUGUCAGAACAAAGCAUAUAGAGAUAGACUUUCACUUUGUCAGAGAAAGAGUUGCUCAAAGACAACUUGACAUACGGUUUGUGCAUUCCAAAGAUCAAAUUGCAGAUGGAUUCACAAAGCCCCUGCCCACAAAGAGCUUUGAAAACUUCAAGCAUAAUCUCAACUUGAUGAAGUUGUGAUUAAGGGAGGGUGUCAAACAUGCUGUUAUAUUGGUACGGUAUCCAUUGGCGUAUAUUGGCGUGUCAUCCUUGCGCAGCACCUGGAGGUAGUUAGGAUAGAUAUAGGAUAGCUAUACAUGAGUUGUUUCUUUCUCUCCAAGUUCUAUCUUCUCCCUGAAUAUCUCCUGUAUCCAAACUACUUUGUAUGCGCUGUACGAGAGGUGCGCCCCGCCUAUAUUAACACGUACCCGUCGGCCUCAACAGGCAAGACGUUUCCAGCUAUUCGCACACUCAAUACAGUUUCUAUGGAAGCUGUGCACAUAUCCUCACAGUCACAGCUGGCUCCUGUAUAACACAAAACAUAUACUCCCUCCGUCCGGAAAUAGUUGUCCGAGGAAUGGAUGUAUCUAGAUGUAUUUUAGUUCUAGAUACAUCCAUUUGUAUCCAUUUCUAUGACAAAUAUUUCCGGACGGAUGGAGUACUAGUUUGUUUUGUUCACUAGUUGGUCAAUAAUUGUGUAUCAUCCAUUGCAGGUGCAGCAGCAUGGUUUUCCCCUGGUAAUUGACUGAUAAUUUUCAGUUAUCUAUUGCGAUUCUAGCUUGCACUAAGCUUUACGAGAUCUUUAAAACUAUCGAUGGGCCAGAAGACUGCAAAUUUAUAAGGGAAUAUCCUAGUAUUUUUGGUGGACCUCUGGCGCUGAGUUUUUCUGAUCCAUGGCGGCCAUACUUGAAACUUUGCUUAAAUCAAGUGUCAAUAAGUUGCAAGAUGUCAUUAUGGAUGAGUCCAUACUAAUCCUAGGGGUGGAAGAAGAGCUCACAAAAUUGUUGCGGCGAGUGGAACUAAUUCAGUGUUGUAUAUACGAUACUGAGAAAAGGAGGACAAAGGAGCAAGCAGUAAACAAUUGGCUUGGACAACUGAGAGAUGUUAUAUAUGAUGUUGAUGAAAUCUUGGAUGUGGCUAGAUGUAAAGGAAGCAAACUACUUGCUGACGACCCUUCACCAUCAUCUAGCAAACCAUGCAUGUAAAGGCCUUUCAGUUUCCUCUUGUUUUUGCAACAUCGUGCCACGCCGUGAUGUUGCUGUUCGGAUUAGAAGCCUGAACAAAAAGAUUGAGAACAUUCCAAAUGACAAGAUAUUUUUGACUUUCAACAGUAGUACACAACCUACUCGAAAUGGUCCAACAUCCAAACUGAUAAGAAGUUCCAAUCUUGUUGAACCCAACCUUGUGGGGAAGGAGAUCAUACAUUCUAGCAGGAAGUUGGUGGACUUAGUGCUUGCACACAAGGAGUACAAGUCUUACAAGCUCGGUAUCAUUGGAACUGGAGGAAUUGGUAAGACAACACUAGCUCAAAAAAUAUACAAUGAUCUAAAAAUAAAAGGAAACUUCAAGAUGCAUGCAUGGAUUUCUGUUUCGCAAGACUACACUGAAGUAACUCUUUUGAAAGAGGUCCUCCGGAAUAUUGGUGUGCAUAGUGAGCAAGGUGAAAGCAUAACAGAACUGCAGAGAAAUCUUACAGAAACAAUUAAAGGUGAGAGUUUCUUUCUCGUUCUUGAUGAUGUGUGGCAUUCCAGUGUAUGGACAGAUUUACUUAGACCUGCGUUUCAUGAAACAACUACGGGAAUAAUAUUGGUAACCACACGAGAUGAUCAAAUUACAAAGAGAAUAGGUGUAUACCAUACCCAUAAGCAGUAGCGGACCUAGCCCACUGGGCCAGGGUGGCCCAAUAGUCCAACUGUACAUAUACAUUUACUUCUUCCUUUAUUUUUCUUAGGCUUUCUCCUAUGGAAUAAAGGCUAUUUCCAAAUCUCAGGGUGGGCCAUGGCCCACCCUGUCCACCCUCUACCUCCGCCACUGCCCAUAAGGUUGAUCUCAUGGCAGUAGAGGUGGGAUGGGAGCUACUUUGGAAGAGCAUGAACAUCGAGGAAGAAAAGGAAGUGCAGAGUUUAAGAAAAACAGGGAUUUAGAUUGUUCAUAAAUGUGGUCGCCUUCCUCUUGCAAUCAAAGUUACCGCUAGUGCUUUGUCAAGCAGACAACUAACAGAUAAUGAGUGGAGAAGGUAUUGGGGCAGAUUUAUUGGCUCUCAGAGCAUCCUCUUGGAUGAAAUAGAAGAAGCUUUGUAUCUAAGCUAUGAUGAGUUACCACAUCGUUUGAAGCAGUGUUUCCUUUAUUGUGCUUUGUAUGUUGAAGAUUCUGUCAUUGAACGUGAUGAAGUUACCUGGUUAUGGAUUGCUGAAGGCUUCAUCGAGGAGCAACAAGGUCAACUAAUAGAAGACAUAGCAGAAGAGUACUACUAUGAGCUAAUUCAUCGGAAUCUCCUCCAGCCAGAAAUGAUAAGUUUUGACCAGGCUAAAUGCAGAAUGCAUGACCUCCUAAGACAACUUGCUUGUAAUAUAUCAAGAGAAGAAUGUUUUAUUGGAGAUGUUGAAACAUUAAGGGGUGGAAAUAUGUCAAAAUUGCGACGUAUUACUGCUGUUAUUAGGAAGGAUAUGUUGGUGUUACCUAGACUGGAUAAGGUGGAUGUUAAGGUGAGGACUUUCCUAACUGUUGAGGGUCCAUGGAGAAUUGAGAAUACAUUGUUCAAGACAUUUCUGCUUCUUCGUGUUUUGGUACUGAAUUACUCACUUGUACAAAGCAUCCCAGAUUACAUAGGAAAGCUGAUACAUCUACGUCUACUUAAUCUAGAUUAUACUGGCAUAUCUUGUCUUCCAGAAUCCAUUGGCUCCCUAAAGAACCUUCAAGUACUAAGCUUAAGAUGGUGUAAUGAUCUGCACAGUCUUCCUUUGCCAAUGACCCUGUUGUGCAGUUUAAGAUGUCUUAAUCUUUUGGGCACAUAAAUAAAUCGGGUUCCCAAAGGGAUAGGCAAACUUAAGUUCCUCACGUAUUUAGAAGAUUAUCCUGUUGGUGAUGGAAGUGAUAAUGCUGUUAUACAAGAUGGAUGGAAGUUGGAAGAGUUGUCUUCUUUGUCACAGAUGAGGUAUCUUGAUCUUGUUAAAUUAGAAAGAGCACCUCACUGCAGUACAAAUACAGUGCUUACCGACAAAAAACAUCUAAAACAACUAACACUAGAGUGGACUGAACAUGGAGAGGGGUCAUAUUCAGAGGAAGAUGUCAUCAAUGCCGAGAAGGUCUUUGAGCAGCUAAUACCUCCAGCUAACCUGGAAGACCUAUGUAUUAUUACAUUCUUUGGUCAGCGGUAUCCCACCUGGUUUGGUACCACCUGUUUGUCUUCCUUAUUAUACUUGAAACUCAUAGAUGUACGAUCAUGUGUGCAUCUUCCACCGAUCUGGCAGCUACCCAACUUGAAAUUUCUGAAGAUUGAUGGAGCACAUGCAGUUACCAAGGUUGGGCCUGAAUUUGUUGGCUGUAAGAAGGGUGAUCCUGUAUGUAAUGAGUUGGUUGCUUUCCCCAAACUUGAAGGCUUGAUCUUCAAGGACAUGCCCAACUGGGGGGCGUGGUCAUUUUUUGAGGAAGAAGUUGUUGCUGCUGAUGUAAGAGGAGAGGAUGGAGCUGCUGAGAUUCAAAAGGAGGAUGCCCAAUCUGCAAGGUUGCAACUCCUGCCUCGUUUGGUGAAGUUGCAACUCAUAGGUUGCCCGAAGCUGAGGGCUCUGCCGCCACAGCUUGGAGAGGACACUGCCAGCUUGAAGGAGAUGCUUUUAAUUGGAAUAAACAACUUGAAGGCCGUGGAGGACCACCCAGUGCUCUCUGAGCUCGUUAUUAGGAGAUGUAAAGGCCUCGAGAGAGUCUGCGACCUCCCUCAAGUGACAGACCUGCGUGUACUAGGUUGUCCAAACUUAAGCCAUGUAGAGGGGUUGGGUAGUUUGCAUCAGCUGGGGCUGGGCGAGGAUAUGCAAGAGGCCCUUACGUGCUGGGUGCCUAAGCUUCAAGACCAGCACCAGCGACUUCAUGGCGAGGACCUGGAUAUGUACACAUAUUCUACCGGUUAGAUGGCACAAGGUAUAUAUAAACGCUGCAUACUGGUUGGAUAUUUAGUUUUCUAACUUUGAUUCUCUCAACCAUGGUUCAUAUUCUCCAGAAGUCAAAUUUCUGCCUCAGUGGAUACAUGCAUAAAUUGCAGUCUUUGUGCAGUUGUAUCUUGUUUGCCAUUUUAUAUGCUUACGCAACCGAAAUGCUUAGAUCUAUUGUGCUUGUACAUGUUCAAAAAGAGCUUUAUUUAGUAAAUUGCAGGUAACAAGUUAUUGCGUCAUAAAAUUUUGCUCUAUAUAUGUUGCUUAUGUGUGUUCCAUCUCUAAACUAACAUGCACUUGAAACUCAAAUUGCAGCUUAAAUUCUCAUGAUCAUCCUCUCAGAGUUUAUAAUAUUGGAAUCUCCAUUGGCAUAUACAAGUAGUAAUAGCUGCCGAGGCAUUGAUCACUUAUCGAGUCAAACUAUACCCAGUUCUGCAUGUAACGUGGUGCAAAACUAGAUAAUUGUAGCUAUACUCAUGCUAGAUCGCAGGACAUACUUGUAGCAAAUUUUUAGUGAUUUUGUUCUUGCUUUCCCCAUGGGAAAAUAGUAACUGAGCAUUACACUUCAUUUGAUGGAUGCAUCAGUCUUAGGUAUGCAUUGCUAUGGUAGCGUAGGACUCAUGGUGCGGUUCGCUUCAUCGGGAGAAGUAUCGGACGUACUAAAUUGAGGAAGCCUGCCAAUGCUGAAGAUGCGCAAGUACCAUGAUGGAUGUGUAGCAAGCUGGUGAAGAAAGAACCGUCCUGUUUUCCUUUGGGCAUGUGCCCUGGAAUUAAUUUAUCGAACUUCGUUUUGUUUAUUUUUGAAUUUGAUCCAGAGGCCUUUGCUGUACUGAACCUCCUGUGUGGUAUGCUUUCACUUUUUUGGAUGUAACCCAUAAUUUUCGUUUUAUUUGUUCCUGAACUUGGGGCUGGAGGCGUUUGCUGUAUUGAACCUGCGUGAACACGGUUUUGUUCUUUUCAUUUGAUGGAUGGAUCUCGUUUUGGCAUGUUUUUGUUCUUUGAAUGGAAGUAAUGAAUUUCGUUUUAUUUUGUUUCUGAACUUGGGCCUGAAGCUUUGCCUGUGUAACAUGUAUGGCUCAACCUUUGUGACCGGGUCAUGAAGGAAGAGCAUUUUUGUUACUGUAGACCUUCGUUGUAUUGUGUCGCCAAACUACAUUGUCUGAAAGAUUGUUAAACUGGAAAUCAUGACCAAAUAAUAUAUAUGUAUGCACAUAUAUGCUUUUUCCUGGGAUAUGUAUAUAUAUCCUGGUUGUUGCAGGAAGUGGUGGAUGACCGAUGAUGCCCCCUACUGACACAGAUGACGCCAAACUGA